AGAAUCAACGCUGGCGGCGUGCCUAACACAUGCAAGUCGCACGAGAAAGGGACUUCGGUCCUGAGUACAGUGGCGCACGGGUGAGUAACACGUGAAUCAUCUACCUCCGAGUGGGGAAUAACUGAGAGAAAUCUUAGCUAAUACCGCAUAACACUUACGAGUCAAAGCAGCAAUGCGCUUGGAGAGGAGUUCGCGGCAGAUUAGUUAGUUGGCGGGGUAAUGGCCCACCAAGACGAUGAUCUGUAUCCGGCCUGAGAGGGCGCACGGACACACUGGAACUGAAACACGGUCCAGACUCCUACGGGAGGCAGCAGUGGGGAAUUUUGCGCAAUGGGGGAAACCCUGACGCAGCAACGCCGCGUGGAGGAUGAAAUCCCUUGGGAUGUAAACUCCUUUCGAUAGGGAAGAUAAUGACGGUACCUAUAGAAGAAGCCCGGCUAACUCGCGCCAGCAGCCGC
This 458-nucleotide ribosomal RNA is filed under the name uncultured bacterium. Its description in RNAcentral is "SSU rRNA". It matches the Rfam family "Bacterial small subunit ribosomal RNA", at positions 26 to 518 of the family's 1533-position model. The record is from RNAcentral.